CCCUUAGAUGUCCGGGGCUGCACGCGCGCUACACUGUAGAAAGCAGCGUGCUUUAAAACCUUUCCUGAAAAGGAUGGGUAACCCCAGCAAAAUUCUACGUGCUUGGGAUAGAGAUUUGCAAUUUUCUCUCUUGAACGAGGAAUUCCCAGUAAGUGCGAGUCAUCAGCUCGCGUUGAUUACGUCCCUGCCCUUUGUACACACCGCCCGUCGCUACUACCGAUUGAACGUUUUAGUGAGCUCCUCGGAUUGUCAGCCUGGCGGUUAAUCCUGCCUGGCUAGCGAAAAGACGAGCAAACUUGAGCGUUUAGAGGAAGUAAAAGUCGUAACA
This 328-nucleotide ribosomal RNA is filed under the name uncultured eukaryote. RNAcentral's name for it is "partial 18S ribosomal RNA". It matches the Rfam family "Eukaryotic small subunit ribosomal RNA", at positions 1470 to 1796 of the family's 1831-position model. The record is from RNAcentral.